RNAcentral lists this ribosomal RNA (441 nucleotides) under uncultured bacterium. RNAcentral describes it as "partial 16S ribosomal RNA". It matches the Rfam family "Bacterial small subunit ribosomal RNA", at positions 338 to 795 of the family's 1533-position model. The record is from RNAcentral.
CCUACGGGAUGCUGCAGUGGGGAAUAUUGGGCAAUGGAGGAAACUCUGACCCCGCAACGCCGCGUGAAGGAUGAAGUUUUUCGGAUUUUACCCUUCUGUCGCGAGGGAUGAUGAAUGACGGUACCUCGUAAGAAAGCCCCGGCAAACUACGUGCCAGCGGCCUCGGUAAUACGUAGGAGGCGAGCGUUGUCCGGAAUGACUGGGCGUAAAGGGAGUGUAGGCGGCAUAUUAAGUUAUGUGUGAAAUCCCGCGGCUCAACCGCGGAAUUGCACAUAAAACUGGUAAGCUGGAGUGCAGGAUAGGUAAGUGGAAUUCCCGGUGUAGCGGGGGAAUGCGUAGAGAGCGGGAGGAACACCAGAGGCGAAGGCGACUUACUGGACUGUAACUGACGCUGAGGCUCGAAAGCGUGGGGAGCAAACAGGAUUAGAUACCCGAGUAGUC